CGAGAUGCAGGAGAGGUUACACAUGCUGCAAGAUCUGACGCAGGUCACGCUGAAGCUGCGGAUGGAGUUUGAGACGGAGGCCGACCUGCGGAGGAGGGCAGCGGAUGAAUGUGAAGAGCAGAAGAGGCAGAGGAUGGAAGCAGAGCGGUUAGUGCGAGACUUCCAGAACCUCUGUGAGAAACAGGCGGAUGAUUACAGGACCACCGUCGGCAGCCUUCAGGUGGAGAUCAGAGAUUUAGUAACUAAGUUACGAGAGCUUGAGGCACAGGAUGUGGAAAGACAAUGUGAAAAACACCUGAAGCAGGUGUCUUCUCUGGAGAAUGAAGUUUGCCAGCUGAAGGCUGUCCUUCAGGAGGAGCAGCAGAAGUCCGGGCAGCUGUCCAUGACCAUGCAGAUGGAAACUGACCAGGCCAGAGCUUUGGUCCAGUCCCAGAACGUCCAGCUUCAGCAAGAUGCAGAAGAGCAGAGGAGGAUGUUUGAGGAGCUGCAGGGCAUCCAGAACAUCCUCAGCACCACCAAACAAGAGCUGCUGUCCCAGAGGAGAAACAACACACGACUGCACAACAUCACUGACGCCGAGCAGGAAAACCUCAGGCUCCAACAAAACACCGAAGACUUGAGGAACAGACUAACCAGCAGUCAACAGGAGACUGACUCUCUGAGGACAGAACUUCAGCUAGCUCUAGUUAGCGUGGACACUGAGAGGAGGUACUAAACUAAACUAAAAAUGAAUAAAAACU
RNAcentral lists this long non-coding RNA (740 nucleotides) under Sinocyclocheilus anshuiensis. Its description in RNAcentral is "lncRNA (ENSSANG00000011319.1)". The record is from RNAcentral. Lineage: Eukaryota; Metazoa; Chordata; Actinopteri; Cypriniformes; Cyprinidae.